RNAcentral lists this microRNA precursor (78 nucleotides) under Schistosoma curassoni. Its description in RNAcentral is "mir-3492 microRNA precursor family". It matches the Rfam family "mir-3492 microRNA precursor family". Lineage: Eukaryota; Metazoa; Platyhelminthes; Trematoda; Strigeidida; Schistosomatidae. The record is from Rfam by way of RNAcentral.
AGCCUUCUGUAUCCAUGCUGAGAUUUCGUCUUAGACCAGACCACGAGGGCUGAUGAGACUUCUCAGAUGAGUGAAGCG